AAGUACUAAAGUGUGAAUAAAAACAUCUGAAAUCAAUGCAUAAAGAUAACCAUCAACCCUGUGAUGAUAAAACUAGAGUAGCCCGAUAUGUCGAAGGAGAAAUACUACACUCACAAAGUGAUCUACCUCCAGACAUGGGUUAAGAAUUAAUAUGAUAACAGGCUUACAACGAGCUCCCUAAAUAAGCUGCUUUGGUGCACUCGAAGACUUGGUGGGAACCUAAGCAGACUCUUAUGGAACAAGGACUGUAGAAAAGCAACUUAAACACUGGGCAGAUGCUUUCAUCCUACUUUAUCAAUGGGAAAAAGAAAAAGAAAGACCAAUCAACAACUGAAUAAAGAAAACUGGAUGUCUCCAAUGCAACAUAGAUACUUAUAAGAAGGUCCUUUAGGAAGUGAUACAUGUAGAUAAAGAUACAUAAAAGUUGAUGUGCAUGAUCGUAACAGAGAAACACUAAGGUCAUACAUCAUAACCUUCCGGUCUAUGUCCCAGCACUCAGAAAAUGGUAUAUUGGUAAAAAGAAAUCAUAAUAAACAUACUUUGAGUUUUAAUAUCAUUAAGAGGGUUUUAUUUUUUUCCCUGUUUUUUCUUGGGUAAGCCAUUAGAAAAAGGGAUGACACAAAAAAUGUCCCAUGAGCUGGCAUUUGAAUUUCUCCAAAUUAUUUAAGCCAUCAUUAAUUAUGAGUCCUAUCAUUAAUUAUAAGUAAUUAAUUGUUUGAUUAACGUCUUUUAGUUUUUCAUGUGAACUUCUAGUAUUAUGUGUCAUCUCUUAGUACUUCAUGAUGUCUUUUUUCAUAUUUUGCACUUUCAUCCCUUCUAGUCAAGGGUGAAUUGAUUGUUUUAUUUUGUCUGCAUAGAGAUGGGGACACGUCUCAUGUCUAUGCCUAUAUAUAGGGGCACUUUGUAUGGAAUAAGAUAUAUAGUGAUAAAUUUGACAAGUUGAAUGAAAAUUCAGCAUUUGGCAUUGGAGUUGGAGUUCUCCUUUUUUAUCUUAUGCUCCUAUCCUCUUGGUGGAUUCCUUGUGGGAGAAGAGCAUUUACCUGAUUCCACUUGUGCUAUCUCCUUACCUCCGACUCGGCAUUUGAUCCCCUAAUUCUGGUGUCAAGGGAUAUAAGGUAUAAAAAAAGUAAAGGUCACAAAAAAAGAGUGAAUUUUCCCAGUGAUUAGUUCUUGUGUGAGCACUUAUUAAUUUCUAGCUGGUAGGUGGCUUCAUUUUGAUCCAAAUUGUUUAUAAAUAUCAUGGAUUGAUAAGGAUGAAGGAGGUUCAACCAUUAUCAUCAAGUGCUGAAGACUGUAUAAGAGCAGGGGCAGAGUGGUAGUUUGGAAUUAUAGGAUGAUACUUUCUCCAAGCUUUCAAUGUAAACUUCUUUUUCUCCUAUAAGUUUUUAAUCUCUUAAACUUCAAGGUUAAGCCUCCUCCUUCCUAGCCAUCCAUGAUGACACUUGAGCCUCUUCCAUCCCAAACCAUAGAAAAUUUGAACUGAUACUGAUUUAAUAUAGGUUGUAAAACUGAUCACAUUGAUAUCUACCAAUUUUUCAUCUACCUAAAAGAAAAUCACCUAUUGAGUGUUGAUUUGUCACUUGUCUUAACUAGUUUUACGGUGAAUUUUGCACUCAAUCUCAUUUACGAGCCUUCUAACCCUGCACCUUUGCCUUUAUCUCGAUCUCUUCUUAUACCUCAGUUCUAGCACUCUCUGUUGAAAGAAUUAUAUUCAAUUGUUUAUCCUUUAUUGAGUUACCUAUUGUUUCUACUUCUCAGAAAUUAAUCAAGAAGCCACAAGGAUUACCUGUUUCCUUUUCCUAGUAUUCAAAUAAACUUAUUAUUUCACUAUCUCAAUUUCAGUUGAUUCAUCUAUAGAAUCCUCACAUUUUAAUUUUUUUUGGAAAAAAUCACAUAGCCCAAACAAAAAUCAUCCACCAGUCCUCCAUGGAAGACAAGCAAAAUGAUCAAGAAUUGGAAUCCAAUUGUGGAAGAACAAAACAGAAUAUCAUUAUAAUAUGUCUCUUGGAUACGUAGACUAGCUAGAGGUAUUCAGAAAAUCCACUCAUUAGGUGGAAGAAAUAGGAAAUAAACUGAUUUCGAUCCAAAACUCAAUACUAGUGCCUCAUCUAACAAAGGUAAAAUAGUAUGUUUCUUUAGGUUCCCCCCUGAGAUAAAUCUACAAAGCACUCAUAUAUGUGUUAGUUUCAUCCAUCUUAUUUCUCAGUGAAAUUCUAUACGGAUCAAGUUGCGACCUGCAAACCAUGACAUUUGCCAAUUAUCUGUGACUAAUCCAAUGCUUUGGGAGAUAUUUAUUUGGCCUACACAUAAUUACAUCCAGAAAGCAAGAUAAAAUCAAAGUCAUCAUAUAGAUGUAUAUUGUAUACAUUCACCAAAUUUGCCACAGAAAACUGUGAAAAUCUCCUCCACGUCAAUGCUUUUCACAGCUGCAAUUUCCACUUGGUCAAUUUCUAUAGGAUUUGCCCAGUUACCAACAAAAAAGAAAAGCAGAGGUAAGAAUUUAUUGAAAUUUUGCCUUCUGAUGGAUCUAAAUUAGUUCAGAUGUAUAACCUUCCCUUUGAAAAAGAAUUUAUAGAGAGAAAGAGAAGGCAUAAUUUGUUUUUUUUGCUUCUUCAUUGCUUAUUUUCUUCCUAUAUAAGUUUGUUUUACCUACCCUAAUUUCUCAAAUUAAUUCAUUUUAUUCCCCCUCCAUAAAAAAUAUAAGUUCCUUUCACUCUAUUAGGCUCAUGUUCGAAUAAUUAUUCUAAACUUCCCCUUACACUAAUCUUUCUUUACUUUUUUUCCCUGACUUGUCUCGGUACACCCCAAAAUAGAGUGCGCUUAACUACCAAAAAAUAACAGAACAUAUUUUCACUCCAUCUACCAGCGUCAUGAAGAACAAUUUGCAAUGCAUAUGACAGUAGAUUGAAGCUCCAAAUUCAGCAAAGAUAUAUUAUCAAUCAGAGUGUCUUUAAUUGUUAAAAAUAGAAAAAGAAGUGUAGCUUUGUUUGUUUGAAAAACUAAAAAAUGACAAAAAUAAAUAUUUCACAAGUGGUUUACAUCCAAUCUAUACUGAAGGAGUGAAUUUUCUUUAGAGUUUCAAGUGAUUCUACUUAUUUCACAUACUGAAAUAAACAGUUGGCUGAUUGUCAAUUACCCAUGUAAGCUAACUAAUCAUAUCUUAAGAAAAAGUCAAAUAACUUCGCACUGUUCGCAACAAUACCAAGAAUCAGAUAUACUCCCACCUUAAAUAGCCUUGCAAAUUUAUAGCCAUAUUUCACAUGUAUUAAAUAUGACUAAUGCCAAAGCAUAUAUGAUCCAUCAGCAAGUUCAGCUAGAAGCAGAGUAGCCAAAUAAUCCAGAAUAGCAGACAAGGAACCAACCAUGUAUCAAAAGGAUGCAACAACUAGGAGACGAUAAUACUGAAAGAAACUAAGCUAAGCAUAAAUAAUAACGAAUCAAAUUCUAAAAUUUAUUUCAAUACCUAGUUUAGUCAUCUAACAAUGUUGAUAUUUAUCAAAAGUAGGCCUUUUCUAUGCUUUAAGUACCAAACUACGAACUAGGGUUUCUAAAUUUAUAAAAACAAAAGCCCUAGAAGGGCAAGCAGCCUGAUUUAGACUAUUCAAUUCAAGCCUAUAAAUUUUCUUCAUAUUUUUCCUUCGCUUUCAACUCCAGUGAGGACUUAGGGUUCAAAGUUAAGCAAAAAAGAAACUAAUCGACCCACAAAAACUAGCAAAGGAGGGAACAUUCCUAGGGUUUUGGAUCAAGAGGCAUUAAUCCAAAACACCACAGAUUAAUUCAGAGGAGAAAUCGGAGUACCUGCAUGGUUCUCGCUGGAAAUUCGCUCUCGAGCUUGGAAGGGGAUCGCCCUCAGCCGGUCUGCCCAACAUUUUAGAUAUUGGGGGCACGAGGCGGCGGAAGACCGCGCGUAUAGAAAUUUCUAUGCGGUCUCCAAGUUGGACCCGGAUCUGAGCCAUUUGGGAUCUAUAUGGCCUUCUCAACAGAGCCAAUAUGGACCGCCUAAGGCCCACCGCAGUCCCAAAAAAGCUCCCUGCGAAACAGUUCCAAAUCCCACAGGCAUUUCAGUUUUUCUGGCUGUUCUCCUCUCCCCCCUCCUCGGCUUCUCGGAGUUCUCUCCUCUCCAGAGAAAGAAGGGGAGCCAGAGAGCUGAGAGAGAGAGGUUUUUCAUUUCUGAGAGAGACUCUCCUCUCUCGGCAGGAGCCGCAGGACAUCUCCCUUCGAGGCCGGGGCGCGAGUCGCGAGAGCGAACCGGCGAAGAACGCUUCUAGAUCUGGCGCCGGCAGGUGGAAGUAGCUGUUCUUGGCCUCUUGGGCGAAGCCCUCGCCGGCGACUUCUUCUCCUUCGGCGGCGGGCACGGCAGCACCGCCGGGAUCCGGCACUCCACCCUCUUCGGCGUCUCCCGCCAGUCUCUCUUUCUUCUCUCUCCCAGAGGACCCAGACAAGCCCUCUUUGGCUCUUUCUCUAUUUUUUCAGGCAAGCCCUCUUCCCUCUUCGACUUGAGAAUGCAAGGAAAGCCUCGACUUGAGAAUGCAAGGAAAGCCUCGACUUGAGAAUGCAAGAAAAGAUAGUCUUUUCAAGUUGCCCCCUGACGUUCCAAUUUUUUCACGUUGGUUCUUUCUUCUUUAAAAAUUUGCAAUCAAGUCCCCUAUAUUUUCUGACGCAAUGUGAAUCCAGUGAUACAACCGUGGUGGGCAUCAGAAGACCAGAACAGCCAUAGCUCUCAUCCCAAGAGGAUUUAGGAUGGUUAUUUGGACUAAAAUAUCAGUCACAAAAAUAGUAAUUUCUUGAUUAUCAAUUUCCUCAUCCAAAAAAAAAUAUUUUUAACUAAUGAAAUAUAUUUUCUUUUUUUCUUUUUCUAAUCUUUGAAGUUUGAAUUCAUGAUUGUUUUGCUUCUAGGAUUUCAGUUCUUGUUAUUCUUGUUGCGACUUCGGCUCUUCUCCAACUCCACCCGUCAGUCUCCAGCACCGUUUCAAAUGUCUAAUAGAAAAUAUGAAUAUAAAAAAAAGUACAAAUCCCAUGCUUGUAUGGAGACCCAUGAUCCAUAUGGACUAUGAAUCAAAUCUGCUCUAAUACUAUUUAUAAAAAUUUAGAAACGCAUCAAAAAAGUAUUAUUUAUAUUUUUUAGUCCUAUAAUGAUCACCAAAAAAAAGGAUUUGUCUGACUGACAAGUUAUGCAUUACUCCUUUGCAAAGCAAGCUAGCUAACACUUAUUAUGAAUCAAGUGGUAGACAUUUGACUUAGUUAUUAGCACAAUGAUGCUCUCAUGCAAAUUAUUGUCAUAUGUAUUGUUUUCAUAAGCUCAUCUUUCCUCGUAAAUUAUAUGUAUUGUAUGGAGAGAAUUAGCGAAAGGUAUAUAGUGCAUGAUCUUUAGAAACAAAUUUUCGGGUGAAGAAGAUAUAAUCAAGUUAGCAAGCAGAUUGUUUUGGCCGCAUUAGCUGGACUUAAUUUCCUCUCUCAGGACUGCUAUUGCUAUUAGAGUAUUCCAACAAGCUAGGAUUUCAGUGAGCAAAUCCAGUUGUAUUUUUCAUUUUAUUCUUGUCAGGAUGGAGUGUAAUCUCUUCUUGUUAAUUAGCUUUAUGUUCUUCUCAUCACUACUCCUCCUUGGUUAACUUCCAGCUGAGACCUGACAUGGAGAAGAGGGUAGAAACAGGAACAUGUCUGUUGUUUACUCUCAAAAGGAAAUGUUCUGCUGUUCCUCAAAUGUAUACAGAUUUUUAGCCAUCUUUUAGAUUUCCAGACAUGCACGCGUGCGAGACAGGAACAUCUCAGACUCUUCUAAAAUGAUAGAGUUUGUCCCCGGCAAUCUAUGGCUGCAUUCGAUAACAAAUGAAGUGGUCUUCUCCUCACUGUUUGUCAUGGCUGCUCCUUUUGUUUCUCUCUCUCAUAUCACUGUGAAAGACAACCAGAAAGACCCCACAUUAAUAGAAUUUUCACUGCUGCACAAGCUUACUUCCAAUUUUUUGUUUCCUUUCAUGAGAUGACCUAAUUUGAGUCUACGUAUACAGAUGUUGUGGGACACCAAAAGAUGCACAGUUCUGAUUUUAGAUGUACUUUCCACUAUGUGUUGAGAUCUAACAAUUUCCAAGAUCAACCAAACAUUGAUAAACUCUUGGUUCACAAAGAUAUUGUUUGCUUGAUUAUCAAUUCUGUUGUCUUGGAAAAGGUGAGGUGCAAUUGGGACUAUUAUAAUGCAGGAUCCGACCAUUAUUCGGCUUGACCCGGACCUAAUCCAUAACCAAACUUAAUAAUUAUGCCUUAAAAAGUUCAAAAUUAAGAAAGAAACCAUCCCAAACCUAUCGAUUCAUGGGUUGGAUCUUCUUUGACAUCUCAUAAGAUCCAUUAACUUGAAGCCAAUUUGGGUUGGAUCUAGGUCCAGUCAGACUUAAUCCAAUCCAACCCAACUUUCCCACUUCCAGUGAUGGGAAAGGUGCAGCUUUACAAGAAGAGGAGAAAGUGGGGAAGGAUCCAUUGUCUAGCUGUAAUUUUUAAAUCUCUACAACUUUUAUGGAUUUUAGUUGCCUUGAUUUAACAAAAGAAGAAAAAGAAGCAUUGCUUAUUGGAGGACUUUCCCCCCUCCUGCUUUCUUGUUUUCUGUAAUAUAUCCUUUCUUUUAAUCAUCAUUUCUGACAUUGACAUCUCCAUCUAUGUAUCAUCCUAUGUUCAAUCCAUAAUUAGAUUGACUAAAACAUGUUCAGUAAUGAAAAGUGAGAUCCACUAUUAUUAAUUAGCAAAUUUGGGGCUUGGUCACUGCUGAAUUUUAUAUCUAAGCUAACAAGAAGCAUUAAAUGAGUAAGAUAUCAGAGCACCAUUCAUUGCCCCCACCUUUUAGGUCUCAAAUCUUUUUCCAUGCCAUCACUAUGGAGCAAUGAUAAUUCAAUGUGAUAUUAGCAGCACCAAUUGUGUUAGAGAGAGAGAGAGAGAGCUUUACAAGGAUAAAAAGUAACUUUUUAGUAUAAUCAUGAACAACAGAAGAAGCAGAUCAUCAGAAGCAAUAUUAGCUUUACAACAGAAGCUUCUUCUGUUCUAUUUUCACUCCAGAGAGAUACAUCUGAUCACAACCAAUCCCCAUAUAUAAAAAAUAUAAGUCAGAAAAAUUGAAACAAAAGAGUGACACAGAAUAUAGGUUCUUAAAAGGGAACACUAGUAAUGGAAGAUCCUCUCUCAACUAUCUCCAUUUCUGUGGUCCCAUAGAAGGGCAGAUUAAUUCAGAGGAGAAAUCGGAGUACCUGCAUGGUUCUCGCUGGAAAUUCGCUCUCGAGCUUGGAAGGGGAUCGCUCUCAGCCAGCCUGCCCGACGCUUUAGAUAUUGGGGGCACGAGGCGGCGGGAGACCGCGCGUAUAGAAAUUUCUAUGCGGUCUCCAAGUUGGACCCGGAUCUGAGCCAUUUGGGAUCUAGAUGGAUCCAAUAUGGACCGCCUAAGGCCCCCGGCCCAAGGAAGGCCCACCGCAGUUCCAAAAAAGUUACCUAAUUUGUUUUUUUUGCUUCUUCAUUGCUUAUUUUCUUCCUAUAACAGUUUGUUUUACCUACCCUAAUUUCUCAAAUUAAUUCAUUUUAUUCCCUCCUCCAUAAAAAAUAUAAGUUCCUUUCACUCUAUUAGGCUCAUGUUCGAAUAAUUAUUCUAAACUUCCCCUUACACUAAUCUUUCUUUACUUUUUUUCCCUGACUUGUCUCGGUACACCCCAAAAUAGAGUGCUCUUAACUACCAAAAAAUAACAGAACAUAUUUUCACUCCAUCUACCAGCGUCAUGAAGAACAAUUUGCAAUGCAUAUGACAGCUAGAUUGAAGCUCCAAAUUCAGCAAAGAUAUAUUAUCAAUCAGAGUGUCUUUAAUUGUUAAAAAUAGAAAAAGAAGUGCAGCUUGGUUUGUUUGAAAAACUAAAAAAUGACAAAAAUAAAUAUUUCACAAGUGGUUUACAUCCAAUCUAUACUGAAGGAGUGAAUUUUCUUUAGAGUUUCAAGUGAUUCUACUUAUUUCACAUACUGAAAUAAACAGUUGGCUGAUUGUCAAUUUCCCAUGUAAGCUAACUAAUCAUAUCUUAAGAAAAAGUCAAAUAACUUCGCACUGUUCGCAACAAUACCAAGAAUCAGAUAUACUCCCACCCUAAAUAGCCUUGCAAAUUUAUAGCCAUAUUUCACAUGUAUUAAAUAUGACUAAUGCCAAAGCAUAUAUGAUCCAUCAGCAAGUUCAGCUAGAAGCAGAGUAGCCAAAUACUCCAGAAUAGCAGACAAGGAACCAACCAUGUAUCAAAAGGAUGCAACAACUAGGAGACGAUAAUACUGAAAGAAACUAAGCUAAGCAUAAAUAAUAACGAAUCAAAUCCUAAAAUUUAUUUCAAUGCCUAGUUUUAGUCAUCUAACAAUGUUGAUAUUUAUCAAAAGAAGGCCUUUU
This 8389-nucleotide long non-coding RNA is filed under the name Phoenix dactylifera (date palm). Its description in RNAcentral is "long non-coding RNA (PDAC_LNC005897)". Lineage: Eukaryota; Viridiplantae; Streptophyta; Magnoliopsida; Arecales; Arecaceae. The record is from RNAcentral.